Molecule: long non-coding RNA, 1211 nt
Organism: Perca fluviatilis (European perch)
Lineage: Eukaryota; Metazoa; Chordata; Actinopteri; Perciformes; Percidae
Exons: 2
Source: RefSeq, a predicted model, not a curated record
AUGUGGUGCAUAGUAAUACUAAUAUGGAAUGUAGUGGGAGAGGAAUUCUAAAAUAAAUUAGUUUUAACAGAAAAAUUAUCAAUAAGUAAAUGGCAUACAUUUAUUUUAACUAACAACAAUAAUUGUUUGCUUUGUAUUUGAUCCCCAGGAAAUGGACCAGAGCUCUUCUGACCCUACAGUGAUCCUUGAACUAAGUUCCGUCCCUGAAAAGGACAUAAGUGUUCCUGAACUCAAGAGAGCAGAAAGUGUAUUUGUUCAUAAAAAAUGGCGAGAAAGAAGUGGAGCACCGAGGAAGUCCAGGCUGUGGAGAGCAAUCUCAUGGACAACAUCAACUCUGGCAGGGUUCCUGGUAAAGCCCAGUGUGAAGCAUCUAUCAAGGGAUCCUCAGAGGUGCUUAGGGGAAGGAGCUGGCAGGCAGUUAAGUUCUAUAUGAAGAACCGCAUUGACACUUUAAAGCGUCUAGAAAAUAACUAAUGGAAAUCUAAAUUGUAAUCACUGAACAUAAUUCUUUUUUGCCAUCUAAGUACUUCUACAAUCCCACAACUAGGUACAGCGCUUACUUGAAUUCAGCUCAUAUCUGAGCAUGCAAAGACAUUUUAUUAAGAUUGUUAAAGCUCUUUUGUUUUCAAAUUUAAUAUGUCAACAUGCUCUGACUAUUAUUUCAUUGAGUGAUGUCAUUUACAUUUUUAUCCUAAAGAACAUUGUGGUAGUCGGUCAUGGGUGGUUGGAGAAAUGGAGGUAGAGAGAGACACAGGUUGUAGAGAGAGUGAAAGGUUUGUAGAGAGAGACAGGUUUGCAGGGAGAGAGAGACAGGUAUGUAGGAAAUGAGAGAGACAGGUAUGUAGGUAGAGAGAGACAGGUAUGUAGAGAGAGACAGGUAUGUAGAAAGGAGAGAGACAGGUAUGUAGAUUAGAGAGUGAGACAGGUAUGUAUAUUAGAGAGAGAGACUAUGUAGGGAGAGAUAGAUGGGUGAGUAGAAAGAGAAAGUGUUCCUGAACAUUUUUUAAAAUAAGAAACAGAGGUAAAGAGAGAGAAACACGUACAGGGAGAGAGACAGGUUUGUAGAGAGAAAUCGAGGUCAGCAGAGACAGACAGGUUUGUAGGAAGUAAGAGAAUAAGGUGAAGGAGAAGGAAUGAUCAUAGCAAAGAGCCAGGACAAAUUAAUUUGUAUAUGGAUGAGUUGUGAUAAUAAAGUUAAUCUGCAAUGUAAA